CAGUCGCCGCGGUAAUACGUAGGGCGCAAGCGUUGUCCGGAAUUAUUGGGCGUAAAGAGCUCGUAGGCGGUCUGUCGCGUCUGGUGUGAAAUCCCGAGGCUCAACCUCGGGCUUGCAUCGGGUACGGGCAGACUAGAGUGCGGUAGGGGAGACUGGAAUUCCUGGUGUAGCGGUGGAAUGCGCAGAUAUCAGGAGGAACACCGAUGGCGAAGGCAGGUCUCUGGGCCGCAACUGACGCUGAGGAGCGAAAGCAUGGGGAGCGAACAGGAUUAGAGACCCCAGUAGUCCCUGUCUCUUAUAC
RNAcentral lists this ribosomal RNA (301 nucleotides) under uncultured bacterium. RNAcentral's name for it is "partial 16S ribosomal RNA". It matches the Rfam family "Bacterial small subunit ribosomal RNA", at positions 509 to 807 of the family's 1533-position model. The record is from RNAcentral.